RNAcentral lists this ribosomal RNA (1012 nucleotides) under Pediococcus pentosaceus. Its description in RNAcentral is "bacterial SSU rRNA". It matches the Rfam family "Bacterial small subunit ribosomal RNA", at positions 498 to 1533 of the family's 1533-position model. The record is from RNAcentral. Lineage: Bacteria; Bacillati; Bacillota; Bacilli; Lactobacillales; Lactobacillaceae.
UAACUACGUGCCAGCAGCCGCGGUAAUACGUAGGUGGCAAGCGUUAUCCGGAUUUAUUGGGCGUAAAGCGAGCGCAGGCGGUCUUUUAAGUCUAAUGUGAAAGCUUUCGGCUCAACCGAAGAAGUGCAUUGGAAACUGGGAGACUUGAGUGCAGAAGAGGACAGUGGAACUCCAUGUGUAGCGGUGAAAUGCGUAGAUAUAUGGAAGAACACCAGUGGCGAAGGCGGCUGUCUGGUCUGCAACUGACGCUGAGGCUCGAAAGCAUGGGUAGCGAACAGGAUUAGAUACCCUGGUAGUCCAUGCCGUAAACGAUGAUUACUAAGUGUUGGAGGGUUUCCGCCCUUCAGUGCUGCAGCUAACGCAUUAAGUAAUCCGCCUGGGGAGUACGACCGCAAGGUUGAAACUCAAAAGAAUUGACGGGGGCCCGCACAAGCGGUGGAGCAUGUGGUUUAAUUCGAAGCUACGCGAAGAACCUUACCAGGUCUUGACAUCUUCUGACAGUCUAAGAGAUUAGAGGUUCCCUUCGGGGACAGAAUGACAGGUGGUGCAUGGUUGUCGUCAGCUCGUGUCGUGAGAUGUUGGGUUAAGUCCCGCAACGAGCGCAACCCUUAUUACUAGUUGCCAGCAUUAAGUUGGGCACUCUAGUGAGACUGCCGGUGACAAACCGGAGGAAGGUGGGGACGACGUCAAAUCAUCAUGCCCCUUAUGACCUGGGCUACACACGUGCUACAAUGGAUGGUACAACGAGUCGCGAAACCGCGAGGUUAAGCUAAUCUCUUAAAACCAUUCUCAGUUCGGACUGUAGGCUGCAACUCGCCUACACGAAGUCGGAAUCGCUAGUAAUCGCGGAUCAGCAUGCCGCGGUGAAUACGUUCCCGGGCCUUGUACACACCGCCCGUCACACCAUGAGAGUUUGUAACACCCAAAGCCGGUGGGGUAACCUUUUAGGAGCUAGCCGUCUAAGGUGGGACAGAUGAUUAGGGGAAGUCGAACAAGUGCCCUCCCCUUUUCC